GACGAACGCUGGCGGCGUGCUUAACACAUGCAAGUCGAACGGAAAGGCCCUGCUUUUGUGGGGUGCUCGAGUGGCGAACGGGUGAGUAACACGUGAGUAACCUGCCCUUGACUUUGGGAUAACUUCAGGAAACUGGGGCUAAUACCGGAUAGGAGCUCCUGCUGCAUGGUGGGGGUUGGAAAGUUUCGGCGGUUGGGGAUGGACUCGCGGCUUAUCAGCUUGUUGGUGGGGUAGUGGCUUACCAAGGCUUUGACGGGUAGCCGGCCUGAGAGGGUGACCGGGCACAUUGGGACUGGGGUACGGGCCAGAAUCCUACGGGAGGCAGGAGGUGGGAAUAUUGCAACAUGGGCCGAAGCCCUAUGGAGCAACGCCGCGGGCGGGAUGACCGCCUUUCGGUUGGAAACCGCUUUCGCCUGUGACGAAGCGUGAGUGACGGUAAUGGGUAAAGAAGCACCGGCUAACUACGUG
RNAcentral lists this ribosomal RNA (468 nucleotides) under uncultured bacterium. RNAcentral describes it as "partial 16S ribosomal RNA". It matches the Rfam family "Bacterial small subunit ribosomal RNA", at positions 28 to 507 of the family's 1533-position model. The record is from RNAcentral.